This 461-nucleotide long non-coding RNA is filed under the name Rattus norvegicus (Norway rat). Its description in RNAcentral is "long non-coding RNA NONRATT023162". Lineage: Eukaryota; Metazoa; Chordata; Mammalia; Rodentia; Muridae. The record is from RNAcentral.
CAGCUCUUACAGGCCCUCUUAACCUCAGAAGAAAAAAAAAAAAACAAAGAGUGUUCCUAGAGGCCAGAAAGCAUGUUCUGGGAGAUGAUGGGCGUCCCACCCAGCUGCCUGAGGACCAAACUGGGAUUUUAAUACAGCUGAAGGUAAGGGACACCUACGCCUUUAUCGCCAGUUGCUUCUAGCGGGUCUCCGAGGGGCUAUACGACGCCCUACUAAUUUGGCUCAGGUAAAACAGGUAUUACAGGAAGCAGGGGAAACUCCCUCCGCCUUUCUAGAGAGACUUAAGGAGGCCUACCGUAUAUACACUCCCUAUGACCCAGAUGACCCAGGACAAAUGACGAGUGUCUCUAUGUCCUUCAUCUGGCAGGCUGCUCCAGAUAUCAGGACUAAGUUACAGAGGUUAGAAAAUUUACAGGGCUAUACAUUACAGGAUUUACUUAAAGAAGCUGAAAAGAUUUUUA